UACGGGGGGGGCAAGCGUUGUUCGGAAUUACUGGGCGUAAAGGGCUCGUAGGCGGCCAACUAAGUCAGACGUGAAAUCCCUCGGCUUAACCGGGGAACUGCGUCUGAUACUGGAUGGCUUGAGUUUGGGAGAGGGAUGCGGAAUUCCUGGUGUAGCGGUGAAAUGCGCAGAUAUCAGGAGGAACACCGGUGGCGAAGGCGGGUCUCUGGGCCGAUACUGACGCUGAGGAGCGAAAGCGUGGGGAGCGAACAGG
RNAcentral lists this ribosomal RNA (253 nucleotides) under uncultured bacterium. Its description in RNAcentral is "partial 16S ribosomal RNA". It matches the Rfam family "Bacterial small subunit ribosomal RNA", at positions 524 to 776 of the family's 1533-position model. The record is from RNAcentral.